AUUAAGUGAAAGCGUAAAUCUCCGUUUCAGAUCAAGGAGACGUUCAAUUCUCAUGUUCUCCUAAGAGGCAAUUUAUGGAAGGUUGACCUGGGACUCUAGUUCCGAGUCUUUCGUUGGCCAUGUCUGAAGGGGCUGGAUGCCGAAGGAGAGCGAGGACUUUGCUUUCCACAGAAGGGUCUGUGCCAUCUGACUCCCACAGGACCCCUUUGAUAGCGGAUCCAUCAGCGGGCCUGGAGGCUGAGCUGCUGUCCUGAAGCAGAGGAGUUGGGAAAGGCACUGAGAAACAAAGAAAGGCAGGCAAACCCUGGCCUGUUCGGCCACUCCUCCCCGAGGCCAGCCCCACUCAUAAGCUGGAAGGAAGGGAGACCUGAGGUAACCCCAAGACCUUUCUGCACAAAGGAAAGCAACACGGGUCAAAUCCUAUCACAUCCCUCAGCCAUGAAUUAAGGCAGUGGGGUCUAAGGUGAAAGGAGGUCCAGUGAGCAUUUGAGAAACACAAACUUACUUAGAAAAAGGCAAUUUUAAUUUGGUAAGGAAAGCCAUGUCUAGAAUGCCUUUGGAGGAUCACCAGUGCAGGCACCAUAUGGCCCCUGGAGUCAUCCAGGAGUACUUGGUUUAUCUCCUGAUUUCCAAUUUAAAAUCUCAAGAAAAGCCACAAAAGGGCCUAGGCUGGCAACAACACUGAGGACAAAAAGGACCAAAGCCCACAUUUCAAGAGUAUUGGCAUAUAGUGUGUAAGCAGUAAGUGCUUGUUAAAUUAAUAAAUGGGAAUAAAUUGG
Microcebus murinus (gray mouse lemur) is the source of this 779-nucleotide non-coding RNA. Lineage: Eukaryota; Metazoa; Chordata; Mammalia; Primates; Cheirogaleidae. The record is from RefSeq and is a predicted model, not a curated record.